RNAcentral lists this ribosomal RNA (252 nucleotides) under Clostridioides difficile. Its description in RNAcentral is "partial 23S ribosomal RNA". It matches the Rfam family "Bacterial large subunit ribosomal RNA", at positions 2546 to 2797 of the family's 2925-position model. Lineage: Bacteria; Bacillati; Bacillota; Clostridia; Peptostreptococcales; Peptostreptococcaceae. The record is from RNAcentral.
CCUGGGGCUGUAGUAGGUCCCAAGGGUUGGGCUGUUCGCCCAUUAAAGUGGUACGCGAGCUGGGUUCAGAACGUCGUGAGACAGUUCGGUCCCUAUCCGUCGCAGGCGUAGGAAAUUUGAGAAGGCCUGUCCUUAGUACGAGAGGACCGGGAUGGACGUACCUCUGGUGUACCAGUUGUUCUGCCAAGGGCAUGGCUGGGUAGCUAUGUACGGAAUGGAUAAGCGCUGAAAGCAUCUAAGCGCGAAGCCAAC